Molecule: unclassified non-coding RNA, 315 nt
Filed under: Hevea brasiliensis (rubber tree)
Lineage: Eukaryota; Viridiplantae; Streptophyta; Magnoliopsida; Malpighiales; Euphorbiaceae
Source: RNAcentral
AAAAAUAAAUAAAUAAAUAUAAACCCUAAAUCUAUAAUAAUUGGUAAAAAAAAAAGGGAAGGGGGGGAGGAGGGGGCUUUUAAGUUUUAAUUGACCUAAUUUCAGGGUUUUUGAACAAGAAAUGACCUAAAAUCAAGAAAAUUAAAAGACACAACUUUUCUUUUAACAGUCAAAAUCUAAGCCUAGAAGAUUGUUUGAGAGUUUGAGUGUGGUGUUGGGUCUUUGUAUGAGGCAGGAAACAGACUGCAAAGGACUAAAAAAAUUGCAGAGAAAAAGUAAAAGAAAAGAAUCAGAGCAACCAAAAAACGAGUAAAG